Molecule: ribosomal RNA, 443 nt
Filed under: uncultured bacterium
Lineage: Bacteria
Description: partial 16S ribosomal RNA
Rfam family: Bacterial small subunit ribosomal RNA
Source: RNAcentral
CCUACGGGUGGCAGCAGUGGGGAAUAUUGGGCAAUGGAGGAAAGUCUGACCCAGCAACGCCGCGUGAAUGAUGAAGGUCUUCGGAUUGUAAAGUUCUUUUCUAAGGGAAGAAGAAAGUGACGGUACCUUAAGACUAAGCCUCGCCUAACUACGUGCCAGCAGCCGCGGUAAUACGUAGGAGGCGAGCGUUAUCCGGAAUGACUGGGGGUAAAGGGUGCGUAGGUGGUGUGGCAAGUUAGUAGCGAAACCCCAAGGCUCAACCUUGGAACUGCUACUAAAACUGGUGGUCUUGAGUACAGGAGAGGCAACCGGAAUUCCUAGUGUAGCGGUGGAAUGCGUAGAUAUUAGGAGGAACACCAGUGGCGAAGGCGGGUUGCUAGACUGUAACUGACACUGAGGCACGAAAGCGUGGGGAGCAAACAGGAUUAGAUACCCCUGUAGUC